Molecule: transfer RNA, 70 nt
Filed under: Triatoma dimidiata (kissing bug)
Lineage: Eukaryota; Metazoa; Arthropoda; Insecta; Hemiptera; Reduviidae
Description: tRNA-Val
Source: RNAcentral
CAAAUUAUAACUUUUAGAAAGUAUUAUUAUUUACAUUAAUGAGUUAGUUGUGCAAUUCAACUUAAUUUGA